Molecule: ribosomal RNA, 433 nt
Filed under: uncultured bacterium
Lineage: Bacteria
Description: bacterial SSU rRNA
Rfam family: Bacterial small subunit ribosomal RNA
Source: RNAcentral
AUGAACGCUGGCGGCGUGGAUAAGGCAUGCAAGUCAAACGGCCCGCAAGGGCAGUGGCGAACGAGGUAGUAACACGUGGGUACAUCCCUUUUAGUCAGGAAUAACCAGUCGAAAGAUUGGAUAAUACUUGAUAGUCUCUUCGGAGUAAAGAUUUAUCGCUAAAAGAAUGGCCUGCGGAGUAUCAGCUAGUUGGUAGUGUAAUGGACUACCAAGGCUAUGACGCUUAGGGGAGCUGAGAGGCUGACCCCCACCGAUGGUACUGAGACACGGACCAUACACCUACGGGUGGCCGCAGUCGAGAAUCUUCCACAAUGGACGAAAGUCUGAUGGAGCGACGCCGCGUGAUGGAUGAAGUCCCUAGGGACGUAAACAUCUUUUAUGAGGGAGAAAGUUUAUUGAUAGUACCUCACGAAUAAGGGGUUGCUAAACUCGU